GGGGGAAGUUGCUUGGAGUCAUUGCACAUUUUGGACAGACUUGGAUGCAUUCUGCCCCUUCUUGCCCUUUCCUCGGGACGUUUCCCCCAGGACGCCUCCACCUUGGGUGUGGGGCUCGGUUGUGCCUUGUGGCAGUGCCGCUGGAGCUGGAUGGAAACGGCUGGUUUUGACAGGGGGCAGCCCUGCCUUCUCCUCAGAGGCAGCUGGCAACCCGCAGUGCCAGCACGUGGGCACCCGCCCCCUACAGCGGGGACGAUUGUAUCAAAAUGUAUAUAUUGUAACAUCAGAGCGCUCUCCGGCCCAGAGGAAUUGGGCAGCCAAUCAGAGGGACUCCUGAGAAAGCGACAGCCUUUGAAAGAGAGGCCAAUCACAGAGCAGUGCGAAAACACGUGGCCUACUAAGUGCCACAAGAUGGUGGCUCCGGACUGUGGAAUUCGGGCUGAAACAAAAUGGCGCCUCCGCUGGCUCAUGAAAUGGCGGCUCCUCACCCUGGAAUGCAGACUGGAACAAAAUGGCGCCUCCCUGUGUAGGUAGGUGGGAGGGAUUUUCUGUCUUGUCCCAUCCUACCUGCGGGCGGGCCCAGUAGCACUGGGUCCUCCCCUUCACCCGCAGCCCUUUCCCCGCCCCUGCACGCAUCCACCCGGCGCCUCCAGCUGGUAGCCAGGAAGAACGGCGGGCUGGAGGCGCCGCUCUGCUGAGCGGCUGCAGGUGCCGGCCGCGCUGCCCGGUGGCUCUCCGUCCGAGUGGUAGGAGGUGCUCUGCUGCACAUCGCGUGUAGCUGAACGAGCCCACAUCUAGGAUUCGGGGCGCAGGGGGGUGGGGGAGCUAGGCAUUCCUUUUGAGGAGCGGUUUUCUGCACCUUUCUAAAUUGCAAGGUGGGCAGCUCCUAUGGUAAAGAGGGAAGAUGAGAGAGCAGGUGAACGUGCGCCUGGUCCCGACCCUGCGUAUGUGCCUUGAAUUGCACUGGCGCUUGUCUGGAUGAUGCGCAUGCUUGUGUCCAAGUGCCUUCUUUUGUGAGUGUGCCAUGUCACAUCCAGGCAGCAAAAUUCAUAGCGCAACGAUUAAGGAAGAAAGGGUUGCAGGCUCAGCUGAAGGUGGCGUUUUGCUCUGUUUUUCCAUGUAUGCAAACGGCGGGGAGCGCUGCCUGACUUUCCCAUCCCCAUGUGAAGCCCCAGGCCUGCCCUAGGAAGCCUGCGUGGUCUGUUAUGCAGGUUGGCAUAAGGCCCGGGGAUGUGUCCGGUCACUCGAGUUGUCAGGGUCGCUCCCGCUGGCAAGUUUGAGGAUCAGUAGCCGGGCAAGAUGUCCCUCCAGGCCGUGGCCCAGCGUGGCCACCUGGGUGGCAUCCUCGUGCCCCCUGUUUUGGCCGAGCGCCCGCCCUCUUGAAGCUCCCCCACCGCUGCUGUGCCAGGGGCUUUUCUGCAGACUGCUAACGGGCGGGUCGCCGACCUGGCCUUCUGCUCACGUUGGACUGUUUCUAUUCCCACUGAAACUUGAAUUCUUUAUUUUGUUAGCCGGCACGAAGGAACGCCCUGCCCGUUUCACAGCUACGCUUUGAGGAGUACAGGCAUAGGUUUAACUGCUCGGUCUGGAUGCCUGUGUGCCUGUUAUGUGUAGUUGUCGCUGCUUAACCUGGCAGAAAGCGGAACACCACGCAGCCUCCCCAGCUGUGAUGGGGAAAGAAUCGGAAGGAUGGAAGUGGGAGCACACGCGGGUUUAGGUAAAGACGGUUUGCUAGGUAAAUGAAAAGGCGUGCCCGCAAGCCAAGGGAAACGUUUGCCGCUUCCCUUUGACAGGCAACUAUUCAGCCGCUUCUAGGAUCCCAGGGCUCACUGCACGUAACCAGCUCUUAUCUAGCACGGUGUGCAGCGUGGCUGAAUAUGAAGGCGAAAAAAAGCUUUACUUACCUGUAUGAAGGUCUCCCUGCAUUUGAAUGUAUGUGUAAUUUCUAUACAUAGACUGCCGUGUCGCGCUGACCUUGGCCAGCAGCCUGAUGGUGUGCGGUCUGUGUCGCGUGCCAUCUUCUCGUGCACUGCCAACCUCCUUGCUGGCAGGGCGCCGUAAGAAGCAGAAAAGUCCUGGGCUCAGUGUGGGCGCUGCUCCGCAACAACAGCAGGAAGGAACUACAACGUGGAUGCGUUAGCACCACCGUUUUUGUCAGAAACGCAAAAGAGCCCACCAACCCGUGCGAGGCGGUACGAGGAAAAUGGGCAGUCUCCCAGACAAAACCACGACAACUACCUAGUGUAGUAUAGUGGUGUACCUACGUGGCAUGGAGACAAUAUUUUCAGUUACCUUUAUCAAAUCCUUUUUAAUAAUUCUGUGUCUGUAUGUACUGUAGAAGUUGCAGUGGCGGGCUGACCUCAGCCAGCAGCCCGAUGCACAGCCAGCUACUCGGUCACUCAGUGUCCUCAACGGGACAGAGUAGGGAAGGCGAUGGGCAUUCUCAUGGGUCAAGACACGGACAGGGAGCUCGCUCACCAGAGGCAAAGCAGAAUAGACGUGGGGGAAGUUGCUUGGAGUCAUUGCACAUUUUGGACAGACUUGGAUGGUGAGAAACAAAAGCACCUGACCCCCCUCCCCUCUUCCCCGAGCCCAAAUACCCUCCUUCACGCACGAGUCCUCGACGUCCCCGCAGCGUGAGAGGUGCAGGGGUGAGGGGCGGUAGCGGUCAGUCCCCCCACAGCUCUGCUCGGCCGCUCCUUCCUCCUCCACUUCUCCCCUGUACCUGUGUGGGCUCUGAGCAGGCUGCAGCAUCCCUUGGGGUGUGGUGACGUGCCCCGCCGCCUCCAGCAGCGGCUGCGGGAGAAUCUCUGCCCUAGCGCUUGGAGCACCUCCUUCUGUUUCUCCUCCUGCCCAUGCUUUUUCUCCACCCUUUGCUCCAGCUCCACCUCCUCCUCCUCACGCUCCACCUCCUUCUCCUCCUCCCUCUCCGCCUCCCGCUCCCCAGCUUCUCACUCGGGCAUUCACGUGGCUGUCUCUCACACGGUUCCACCCUCUCUCCCCACUGCUGGGCAGCAUUCUGCCCCUUCUUGCCCUUUCCUCGGGACGUUUCCCCCAGGACGCCUCCACCUUGGGUGUGGGGCUCGGUUGUGCCUUGUGGCAGUGCCGCUGGAGCUGGAUGGAAACGGCUGGUUUUGACAGGGGGCAGCCCUGCCUUCUCCUCAGAGGCAGCUGGCAACCCGCAGUGCCAGCACGUGGGCACCCGCCCCCUACAGCGGGGACGAUUGUAUCAAAAUGUAUAUAUUGUAACAUCAGAGCGCUCUCCGGCCCAGAGGAAUUGGGCAGCCAAUCAGAGGGACUCCUGAGAAAGCGACAGCCUUUGAAAGAGAGGCCAAUCACAGAGCAGUGCGAAAACACGUGGCCUACUAAGUGCCACAAGAUGGUGGCUCCGGACUGUGGAAUUCGGGCUGAAACAAAAUGGCGCCUCCGCUGGCUCAUGAAAUGGCGGCUCCUCACCCUGGAACGCAGACUGGAACAAAAUGGCGCCUCCCUGUGUAGGUAGGUGGGAGGGAUUUUCUGUCUUGUCCCAUCCUACCUGCGGGCGGGCCCAGUAGCACUGGGUCCUCCCCUUCACCCGCAGCCCUUUCCCCGCCCCUGCACGCAUCCACCCGGCGCCUCCAGCUGGUAGCCAGGAAGAACGGCGGGCUGGAGGCGCCGCUCUGCUGAGCGGCUGCAGGUGCCGGCCGCGCUGCCCGGUGGCUCUCCGUCCGAGUGGUAGGAGGUGCUCUGCUGCACAUCGCGUGUAGCUGAACGAGCCCACAUCUAGGAUUCGGGGCGCAGGGGGGUGGGGGAGCUAGGCAUUCCUUUUGAGGAGCGGUUUUCUGCACCUUUCUAAAUUGCAAGGUGGGCAGCUCCUAUGGUAAAGAGGGAAGAUGAGAGAGCAGGUGAACGUGCGCCUGGUCCCGACCCUGCGUAUGUGCCUUGAAUUGCACUGGCGCUUGUCUGGAUGAUGCGCAUGCUUGUGUCCAAGUGCCUUCUUUUGUGAGUGUGCCAUGUCACAUCCAGGCAGCAAAAUUCAUAGCGCAACGAUUAAGGAAGAAAGGGUUGCAGGCUCAGCUGAAGGUGGCGUUUUGCUCUGUUUUUCCAUGUAUGCAAACGGCGGGGAGCGCUGCCUGACUUUCCCAUCCCCAUGUGAAGCCCCAGGCCUGCCCUAGGAAGCCUGCGUGGUCUGUUAUGCAGGUUGGCAUAAGGCCCGGGGAUGUGUCCGGUCACUCGAGUUGUCAGGGUCGCUCCCGCUGGCAAGUUUGAGGAUCAGUAGCCGGGCAAGAUGUCCCUCCAGGCCGUGGCCCAGCGUGGCCACCUGGGUGGCAUCCUCGUGCCCCCUGUUUUGGCCGAGCGCCCGCCCUCUUGAAGCUCCCCCACCGCUGCUGUGCCAGGGGCUUUUCUGCAGACUGCUAACGGGCGGGUCGCCGACCUGGCCUUCUGCUCACGUUGGACUGUUUCUAUUCCCACUGAAACUUGAAUUCUUUAUUUUGUUAGCCGGCACGAAGGAACGCCCUGCCCGUUUCACAGCUACGCUUUGAGGAGUACAGGCAUAGGUUUAACUGCUCGGUCUGGAUGCCUGUGUGCCUGUUAUGUGUAGUUGUCGCUGCUUAACCUGGCAGAAAGCGGAGCACCACGCAGCCUCCCCAGCUGUGAUGGGGAAAGAAUCGGAAGGAUGGAAGUGGGAGCACACGCGGGUUUAGGUAAAGACGGUUUGCUAGGUAAAUGAAAAGGCGUGCCCGCAAGCCAAGGGAAACGUUUGCCGCUUCCCUUUGACAGGCAACUAUUCAGCCGCUUCUAGGAUCCCAGGGCUCACUGCACGUAACCAGCUCUUAUCUAGCACGGUGUGCAGCGUGGCUGAAUAUGAAGGCGAAAAAAAGCUUUACUUACCUGUAUGAAGGUCUCCCUGCAUUUGAAUGUAUGUGUAAUUUCUAUACAUAGACUGCCGUGUCGCGCUGACCUUGGCCAGCAGCCUGAUGGUGUGCGGUCUGUGUCGCGUGCCAUCUUCUCGUGCACUGCCAACCUCCUUGCUGGCAGGGCGCCGUAAGAAGCAGAAAAGUCCUGGGCUCAGUGUGGGCGCUGCUCCGCAACAACAGCAGGAAGGAACUACAACGUGGAUGCGUUAGCACCACCGUUUUUGUCAGAAACGCAAAAGAGCCCACCAACCCGUGCGAGGCGGUACGAGGAAAAUGGGCAGUCUCCCAGACAAAACCACGACAACUACCUAGUGUAGUAUAGUGGUGUACCUACGUGGCAUGGAGACAAUAUUUUCAGUUACCUUUAUCAAAUCCUUUUUAAUAAUUCUGUGUCUGUAUGUACUGUAGAAGUUGCAGUGGCGGGCUGACCUCAGCCAGCAGCCCGAUGCACAGCCAGCUACUCGGUCACUCAGUGUCCUCAACGGGACAGAGUAGGGAAGGCGAUGGGCAUUCUCAUGGGUCAAGACACGGACAGGGAGCUCGCUCACCAGAGGCAAAGCAGAAUAGACGUGGGGGAAGUUGCUUGGAGUCAUUGCACAUUUUGGACAGACUUGGAUGGUGAGAAACAAAAGCACCUGACCCCCCUCCCCUCUUCCCCGAGCCCAAAUACCCUCCUUCACGCACGAGUCCUCGACGUCCCCGCAGCGUGAGAGGUGCAGGGGUGAGGGGCGGUAGCGGUCAGUCCCCCCACAGCUCUGCUCGGCCGCUCCUUCCUCCUCCACUUCUCCCCUGUACCUGUGUGGGCUCUGAGCAGGCUGCAGCAUCCCUUGGGGUGUGGUGACGUGCCCCGCCGCCUCCAGCAGCGGCUGCGGGAGAAUCUCUGCCCUAGCGCUUGGAGCACCUCCUUCUGUUUCUCCUCCUGCCCAUGCUUUUUCUCCACCCUUUGCUCCGGCUCCACCUCCUCCUCCUCACGCUCCACCUCCUUCUCCUCCUCCCUCUCCGCCUCCCGCUCCCCAGCUUCUCACUCGGGCAUUCACGUGGCUGUCUCUCACACGGUUCCACCCUCUCUCCCCACUGCUGGGCAGCAUUCUGCCCCUUCUUGCCCUUUCCUCGGGACGUUUCCCCCAGGACGCCUCCACCUUGGGUGUGGGGCUCGGUUGUGCCUUGUGGCAGUGCCGCUGGAGCUGGAUGGAAACGGCUGGUUUUGACAGGGGGCAGCCCUGCCUUCUCCUCAGAGGCAGCUGGCAACCCGCAGUGCCAGCACGUGGGCACCCGCCCCCUACAGCGGGGACGAUUGUAUCAAAAUGUAUAUAUUGUAACAUCAGAGCGCUCUCCGGCCCAGAGGAAUUGGGCAGCCAAUCAGAGGGACUCCUGAGAAAGCGACAGCCUUUGAAAGAGAGGCCAAUCACAGAGCAGUGAGAAAACACGUGGCCUACUAAGUGCCACAAGAUGGUGGCUCCGGACUGUGGAAUUCGGGCUGAAACAAAAUGGCGCCUCCGCUGGCUCAUGAAAUGGCGGCUCCUCACCCUGGAAUGCAGACUGGAACAAAAUGGCGCCUCCCUGUGUAGGUAGGUGGGAGGGAUUUUCUGUCUUGUCCCAUCCUACCUGCGGGCGGGCCCAGUAGCACUGGGUCCUCCCCUUCACCCGCAGCCCUUUCCCCGCCCCUGCACGCAUCCACCCGGCGCCUCCAGCUGGUAGCCAGGAAGAACGGCGGGCUGGAGGCGCUGCUCUGCUGAGCGGCUGCAGGUGCCGGCCGCGCUGCCCGGUGGCUCUCCGUCCGAGUGGUAGGAGGUGCUCUGCUGCACAUCGCGUGUAGCUGAACGAGCCCACAUCUAGGAUUCGGGGCGCAGGGGGGUGGGGGAGCUAGGCAUUCCUUUUGAGGAGCGGUUUUCUGCACCUUUCUAAAUUGCAAGGUGGGCAGCUCCUAUGGUAAAGAGGGAAGAUGAGAGAGCAGGUGAACGUGCGCCUGGUCCCGACCCUGCGUAUGUGCCUUGAAUUGCACUGGCGCUUGUCUGGAUGAUGCGCAUGCUUGUGUCCAAGUGCCUUCUUUUGUGAGUGUGCCAUGUCACAUCCAGGCAGCAAAAUUCAUAGCGCAACGAUUAAGGAAGAAAGGGUUGCAGGCUCAGCUGAAGGUGGCGUUUUGCUCUGUUUUUCCAUGUAUGCAAACGGCGGGGAGCGCUGCCUGACUUUCCCAUCCCCAUGUGAAGCCCCAGGCCUGCCCUAGGAAGCCUGCGUGGUCUGUUAUGCAGGUUGGCAUAAGGCCCGGGGAUGUGUCCGGUCACUCGAGUUGUCAGGGUCGCUCCCGCUGGCAAGUUUGAGGAUCAGUAGCCGGGCAAGAUGUCCCUCCAGGCCGUGGCCCAGCGUGGCCACCUGGGAGGCAUCCUCGUGCCCCCUGUUUUGGCCGAGCGCCCGCCCUCUUGAAGCUCCCCCACCACUGCUGUGCCAGGGGCUUUUCUGCAGACUGCUAACGGGCGGGUCGCCGACCUGGCCUUCUGCUCACGUUGGACUGUUUCUAUUCCCACUGAAACUUGAAUUCUUUAUUUUGUUAGCCGGCACGAAGGAACGCCCUGCCCGUUUCACAGCUACGCUUUGAGGAGUACAGGCAUAGGUUUAACUGCUCGGUCUGGAUGCCUGUGUGCCUGUUAUGUGUAGUUGUCGCUGCUUAACCUGGCAGAAAGCGGAGCACCACGCAGCCUCCCCAGCUGUGAUGGGGAAAGAAUCGGAAGGAUGGAAGUGGGAGCACACGCGGGUUUAGGUAAAGACGGUUUGCUAGGUAAAUGAAAAGGCGUGCCCGCAAGCCAAGGGAAACGUUUGCCGCUUCCCUUUGACAGGCAACUAUUCAGCCGCUUCUAGGAUCCCAGGGCUCACUGCACGUAACCAGCUCUUAUCUAGCACGGUGUGCAGCGUGGCUGAAUAUGAAGGCGAAAAAAAGCUUUACUUACCUGUAUGAAGGUCUCCCUGCAUUUGAAUGUAUGUGUAAUUUCUAUACAUAGACUGCCGUGUCGCGCUGACCUUGGCCAGCAGCCUGAUGGUGUGCGGUCUGUGUCGCGUGCCAUCUUCUCGUGCACUGCCAACCUCCUUGCUGGCAGGGCGCCGUAAGAAGCAGAAAAGUCCUGGGCUCAGUGUGGGCGCUGCUCCGCAACAACAGCAGGAAGGAACUACAACGUGGAUGCGUUAGCACCACCGUUUUUGUCAGAAACGCAAAAGAGCCCACCAACCCGUGCGAGGCGGUACGAGGAAAAUGGGCAGUCUCCCAGACAAAACCACGACAACUACCUAGUGUAGUAUAGUGGUGUACCUACGUGGCAUGGAGACAAUAUUUUCAGUUACCUUUAUCAAAUCCUUUUUAAUAAUUCUGUGUCUGUAUGUACUGUAGAAGUUGCAGUGGCGGGCUGACCUCAGCCAGCAGCCCGAUGCACAGCCAGCUACUCGGUCACUCAGUGUCCUCAACGGGACAGAGUAGGGAAGGCGAUGGGCAUUCUCAUGGGUCAAGACACGGACAGGGAGCUCGCUCACCAGAGGCAAAGCAGAAUAGACGUGGGGGAAGUUGCUUGGAGUCAUUGCACAUUUUGGACAGACUUGGAUGCAUUCUGCCCCUUCUUGCCCUUUCCUCGGGACGUUUCCCCCAGGACGCCUCCACCUUGGGUGUGGGGCUCGGUUGUGCCUUGUGGCAGUGCCGCUGGAGCUGGAUGGAAACGGCUGGUUUUGACAGGGGGCAGCCCUGCCUUCUCCUCAGAGGCAGCUGGCAACCCGCAGUGCCAGCACGUGGGCACCCGCCCCCUACAGCGGGGACGAUUGUAUCAAAAUGUAUAUAUUGUAACAUCAGAGCGCUCUCCGGCCCAGAGGAAUUGGGCAGCCAAUCAGAGGGACUCCUGAGAAAGCGACAGCCUUUGAAAGAGAGGCCAAUCACAGAGCAGUGCGAAAACACGUGGCCUACUAAGUGCCACAAGAUGUUGGCUCCGGACUGUGGAAUUCGGGCUGAAACAAAAUGGCGCCUCCGCUGGCUCAUGAAAUGGCGGCUCCUCACCCUGGAAUGCAGACUGGAACAAAAUGGCGCCUCCCUGUGUAGCCGGCACGAAGGAACGCCCUGCCCGUUUCACAGCUACGCUUUGAGGAGUACAGGCAUAGGUUUAACUGCUCGGUCUGGAUGCCUGUGUGCCUGUUAUGUGUAGUUGUCGCUGCUUAACCUGGCAGAAAGCGGAACACCACGCAGCCUCCCCAGCUGUGAUGGGGAAAGAAUCGGAAGGAUGGAAGUGGGAGCACACGCGGGUUUAGGUAAAGACGGUUUGCUAGGUAAAUGAAAAGGCGUGCCCGCAAGCCAAGGGAAACGUUUGCCGCUUCCCUUUGACAGGCAACUAUUCAGCCGCUUCUAGGAUCCCAGGGCUCACUGCACGUAACCAGCUCUUAUCUAGCACGGUGUGCAGCGUGGCUGAAUAUGAAGGCGAAAAAAAGCUUUACUUACCUGUAUGAAGGUCUCCCUGCAUUUGAAUGUAUGUGUAAUUUCUAUACAUAGACUGCCGUGUCGCGCUGACCGUGGCCAGCAGCCUGAUGGUGUGCGGUCUGUGUCGCGUGCCAUCUUCUCGUGCACUGCCAACCUCCUUGCUGGCAGGGCGCCGUAAGAAGCAGAAAAGUCCUGGGCUCAGUGUGGGCGCUGCUCCGCAACAACAGCAGGAAGGAACUACAACGUGGAUGUGUUAGCACCACCGUUUUUGUCAGAAACGCAAAAGAGCCCACCAACCCGUGCGAGGCGGUACGAGGAAAAUGGGCAGUCUCCCAGACAAAACCACGACAACUACCUAGUGUAGUAUAGUGGUGUACCUACGUGGCAUGGAGACAAUAUUUUCAGUUACCUUUAUCAAAUCCUUUUUAAUAAUUCUGUGUCUGUAUGUACUGUAGAAGUUGCAGUGGCGGGCUGACCUCAGCCAGCAGCCCGAUGCACAGCCAGCUACUCGGUCACUCAGUGUCCUCAACGGGACAGAGUAGGGAAGGCGAUGGGCAUUCUCAUGGGUCAAGACACGGACAGGGAGCUCGCUCACCAGAGGCAAAGCAGAAUAGACGUGGGGGAAGUUGCUUGGAGUCAUUGCACAUUUUGGACAGACUUGGAUGGUGAGAAACAAAAGCACCUGACCCCCCUCCCCUCUUCCCCGAGCCCAAAUACCCUCCUUCACGCACGAGUCCUCGACGUCCCCGCAGCGUGAGAGGUGCAGGGGUGAGGGGCGGUAGCGGUCAGUCCCCCCACAGCUCUGCUCGGCCGCUCCUUCCUCCUCCACUUCUCCCCUGUACCUGUGUGGGCUCUGAGCAGGCUGCAGCAUCCCUUGGGGUGUGGUGACGUGCCCCGCCGCCUCCAGCAGCGGCUGCGGGAGAAUCUCUGCCCUAGCGCUUGGAGCACCUCCUUCUGUUUCUCCUCCUGCCCAUGCUUUUUCUCCACCCUUUGCUCCGGCUCCACCUCCUCCUCCUCACGCUCCACCUCCUUCUCCUCCUCCCUCUCCGCCUCCCGCUCCCCAGCUUCUCACUCAGGCAUUCACGUGGCUGUCUCUCACACGGUUCCACCCUCUCUCCCCACUGCUGGGCAGCAUUCUGCCCCUUCUUGCCCUUUCCUCGGGACGUUUCCCCCAGGACGCCUCCACCUUGGGUGUGGGGCUCGGUUGUGCCUUGUGGCAGUGCCGCUGGAGCUGGAUGGAAACGGCUGGUUUUGACAGGGGGCAGCCCUGCCUUCUCCUCAGAGGCAGCUGGCAACCCGCAGUGCCAGCACGUGGGCACCCGCCCCCUACAGCGGGGACGAUUGUAUCAAAAUGUAUAUAUUGUAACAUCAGAGCGCUCUCCGGCCCAGAGGAAUUGGGCAGCCAAUCAGAGGGACUCCUGAGAAAGCGACAGCCUUUGAAAGAGAGGCCAAUCACAGAGCAGUGCGAAAACACGUGGCCUACUAAGUGCCACAAGAUGGUGGCUCCGGACUGUGGAAUUCGGGCUGAAACAAAAUGGCGCCUCCGCUGGCUCAUGAAAUGGCGGCUCCUCACCCUGGAAUGCAGACUGGAACGAAAUGGCGCCUCCCUGUGUAGGUAGGUGGGAGGGAUUUUCUGUCUUGUCCCAUCCUACCUGCGGGCGGGCCCAGUAGCACUGGGUCCUCCCCUUCACCCGCAGCCCUUUCCCCGCCCCUGCACGCAUCCACCCGGCGCCUCCAGCUGGUAGCCAGGAAGAACGGCGGGCUGGAGGCGCCGCUCUGCUGAGCGGCUGCAGGUGCCGGCCGCGCUGCCCGGUGGCUCUCCGUCCGAGUGGUAGGAGGUGCUCUGCUGCACAUCGCGUGUAGCUGAACGAGCCCACAUCUAGGAUUCGGGGCGCAGGGGGGUGGGGGAGCUAGGCAUUCCUUUUGAGGAGCGGUUUUCUGCACCUUUCUAAAUUGCAAGGUGGGCAGCUCCUAUGGUAAAGAGGGAAGAUGAGAGAGCAGGUGAACGUGCGCCUGGUCCCGACCCUGCGUAUGUGCCUUGAAUUGCACUGGCGCUUGUCUGGAUGAUGCGCAUGCUUGUGUCCAAGUGCCUUCUUUUGUGAGUGUGCCAUGUCACAUCCAGGCAGCAAAAUUCAUAGCGCAACGAUUAAGGAAGAAAGGGUUGCAGGCUCAGCUGAAGGUGGCGUUUUGCUCUGUUUUUCCAUGUAUGCAAACGGCGGGGAGCGCUGCCUGACUUUCCCAUCCCCAUGUGAAGCCCCAGGCCUGCCCUAGGAAGCCUGCGUGGUCUGUUAUGCAGGUUGGCAUAAGGCCCGGGGAUGUGUCCGGUCACUCGAGUUGUCAGGGUCGCUCCCGCUGGCAAGUUUGAGGAUCAGUAGCCGGGCAAGAUGUCCCUCCAGGCCGUGGCCCAGCGUGGCCACCUGGGUGGCAUCCUCGUGCCCCCUGUUUUGGCCGAGCGCCCGCCCUCUUGAAGCUCCCCCACCGCUGCUGUGCCAGGGGCUUUUCUGCAGACUGCUAACGGGCGGGUCGCCGACCUGGCCUUCUGCUCACGUUGGACUGUUUCUAUUCCCACUGAAACUUGAAUUCUUUAUUUUGUUAGCCGGCACGAAGGAACGCCCUGCCCGUUUCACAGCUACGCUUUGAGGAGUACAGGCAUAGGUUUAACUGCUCGGUCUGGAUGCCUGUGUGCCUGUUAUGUGUAGUUGUCGCUGCUUAACCUGGCAGAAAGCGGAGCACCACGCAGCCUCCCCAGCUGUGAUGGGGAAAGAAUCGGAAGGAUGGAAGUGGGAGCACACGCGGGUUUAGGUAAAGACGGUUUGCUAGGUAAAUGAAAAGGCGUGCCCGCAAGCCAAGGGAAACGUUUGCCGCUUCCCUUUGACAGGCAACUAUUCAGCCGCUUCUAGGAUCCCAGGGCUCACUGCACGUAACCAGCUCUUAUCUAGCACGGUGUGCAGCGUGGCUGAAUAUGAAGGCGAAAAAAAGCUUUACUUACCUGUAUGAAGGUCUCCCUGCAUUUGAAUGUAUGUGUAAUUUCUAUACAUAGACUGCCGUGUCGCGCUGACCUUGGCCAGCAGCCUGAUGGUGUGCGGUCUGUGUCGCGUGCCAUCUUCUCGUGCACUGCCAACCUCCUUGCUGGCAGGGCGCCGUAAGAAGCAGAAAAGUCCUGGGCUCAGUGUGGGCGCUGCUCCGCAACAACAGCAGGAAGGAACUACAACGUGGAUGCGUUAGCACCACCGUUUUUGUCAGAAACGCAAAAGAGCCCACCAACCCGUGCGAGGCGGUACGAGGAAAAUGGGCAGUCUCCCAGACAAAACCACGACAACUACCUAGUGUAGUAUAGUGGUGUACCUACGUGGCAUGGAGACAAUAUUUUCAGUUACCUUUAUCAAAUCCUUUUUAAUAAUUCUGUGUCUGUAUGUACUGUAGAAGUUGCAGUGGCGGGCUGACCUCAGCCAGCAGCCCGAUGCACAGCCAGCUACUCGGUCACUCAGUGUCCUCAACGGGACAGAGUAGGGAAGGCGAUGGGCAUUCUCAUGGGUCAAGACACGGACAGGGAGCUCGCUCACCAGAGGCAAAGCAGAAUAGACGUGGGGGAAGUUGCUUGGAGUCAUUGCACAUUUUGGACAGACUUGGAUGGUGAGAAACAAAAGCACCUGACCCCCCUCCCCUCUUCCCCGAGCCCAAAUACCCUCCUUCACGCACGAGUCCUCGACGUCCCCGCAGCGUGAGAGGUGCAGGGGUGAGGGGCGGUAGCGGUCAGUCCCCCCACAGCUCUGCUCGGCCGCUCCUUCCUCCUCCACUUCUCCCCUGUACCUGUGUGGGCUCUGAGCAGGCUGCAGCAUCCCUUGGGGUGUGGUGACGUGCCCCGCCGCCUCCAGCAGCCGCUGCGGGAGAAUCUCUGCCCUAGCGCUUGGAGCACCUCCUUCUGUUUCUCCUCCUGCCCAUGCUUUUUCUCCACCCUUUGCUCCGGCUCCACCUCCUCCUCCUCACGCUCCACCUCCUUCUCCUCCUCCCUCUCCGCCUCCCGCUCCCCAGCUUCUCACUCGGGCAUUCACGUGGCUGUCUCUCACACGGUUCCACCCUCUCUCCCCACUGCUGGGCAGCAUUCUGCCCCUUCUUGCCCUUUCCUCGGGACGUUUCCCCCAGGACGCCUCCACCUUGGGUGUGGGGCUCGGUUGUGCCUUGUGGCAGUGCCGCUGGAGCUGGAUGGAAACGGCUGGUUUUGACAGGGGGCAGCCCUGCCUUCUCCUCAGAGGCAGCUGGCAACCCGCAGUGCCAGCACGUGGGCACCCGCCCCCUACAGCGGGGACGAUUGUAUCAAAAUGUAUAUAUUGUAACAUCAGAGCGCUCUCCGGCCCAGAGGAAUUGGGCAGCCAAUCAGAGGGACUCCUGAGAAAGCGACAGCCUUUGAAAGAGAGGCCAAUCACAGAGCAGUGAGAAAACACGUGGCCUACUAAGUGCCACAAGAUGGUGGCUCCGGACUGUGGAAUUCGGGCUGAAACAAAAUGGCGCCUCCGCUGGCUCAUGAAAUGGCGGCUCCUCACCCUGGAAUGCAGACUGGAACAAAAUGGCGCCUCCCUGUGUAGGUAGGUGGGAGGGAUUUUCUGUCUUGUCCCAUCCUACCUGCGGGCGGGCCCAGUAGCACUGGGUCCUCCCCUUCACCCGCAGCCCUUUCCCCGCCCCUGCACGCAUCCACCCGGCGCCUCCAGCUGGUAGCCAGGAAGAACGGCGGGCUGGAGGCGCCGCUCUGCUGAGCGGCUGCAGGUGCCGGCCGCGCUGCCCGGUGGCUCUCCGUCCGAGUGGUAGGAGGUGCUCUGCUGCACAUCGCGUGUAGCUGAACGAGCCCACAUCUAGGAUUCGGGGCGCAGGGGGGUGGGGGAGCUAGGCAUUCCUUUUGAGGAGCGGUUUUCUGCACCUUUCUAAAUUGCAAGGUGGGCAGCUCCUAUGGUAAAGAGGGAAGAUGAGAGAGCAGGUGAACGUGCGCCUGGUCCCGACCCUGCGUAUGUGCCUUGAAUUGCACUGGCACUUGUCUGGAUGAUGCGCAUGCUUGUGUCCAAGUGCCUUCUUUUGUGAGUGUGCCAUGUCACAUCCAGGCAGCAAAAUUCAUAGCGCAACGAUUAAGGAAGAAAGGGUUGCAGGCUCAGCUGAAGGUGGCGUUUUGCUCUGUUUUUCCAUGUAUGCAAACGGCGGGGAGCGCUGCCUGACUUUCCCAUCCCCAUGUGAAGCCCCAGGCCUGCCCUAGGAAGCCUGCGUGGUCUGUUAUGCAGGUUGGCAUAAGGCCCGGGGAUGUGUCCGGUCACUCGAGUUGUCAGGGUCGCUCCCGCUGGCAAGUUUGAGGAUCAGUAGCCGGGCAAGAUGUCCCUCCAGGCCGUGGCCCAGCGUGGCCACCUGGGAGGCAUCCUCGUGCCCCCUGUUUUGGCCGAGCGCCCGCCCUCUUGAAGCUCCCCCACCGCUGCUGUGCCAGGGGCUUUUCUGCAGACUGCUAACGGGCGGGUCGCCGACCUGGCCUUCUGCUCACGUUGGACUGUUUCUAUUCCCACUGAAACUUGAAUUCUUUAUUUUGUUAGCCGGCACGAAGGAACGCCCUGCCCGUUUCACAGCUACGCUUUGAGGAGUACAGGCAUAGGUUUAACUGCUCGGUCUGGAUGCCUGUGUGCCUGUUAUGUGUAGUUGUCGCUGCUUAACCUGGCAGAAAGCGGAGCACCACGCAGCCUCCCCAGCUGUGAUGGGGAAAGAAUCGGAAGGAUGGAAGUGGGAGCACACGCGGGUUUAGGUAAAGACGGUUUGCUAGGUAAAUGAAAAGGCGUGCCCGCAAGCCAAGGGAAACGUUUGCCGCUUCCCUUUGACAGGCAACUAUUCAGCCGCUUCUAGGAUCCCAGGGCUCACUGCACGUAACCAGCUCUUAUCUAGCACGGUGUGCAGCGUGGCUGAAUAUGAAGGCGAAAAAAAAGCUUUACUUACCUGUAUGAAGGUCUCCCUGCAUUUGAAUGUAUGUGUAAUUUCUAUACAUAGACUGCCGUGUCGCGCUGACCUUGGCCAGCAGCCUGAUGGUGUGCGGUCUGUGUCGCGUGCCAUCUUCUCGUGCACUGCCAACCUCCUUGCUGGCAGGGCGCCGUAAGAAGCAGAAAAGUCCUGGGCUCAGUGUGGGCGCUGCUCCGCAACAACAGCAGGAAGGAACUACAACGUGGAUGCGUUAGCACCACCGUUUUUGUCAGAAACGCAAAAGAGCCCACCAACCCGUGCGAGGCGGUACGAGGAAAAUGGGCAGUCUCCCAGACAAAACCACGACAACUACCUAGUGUAGUAUAGUGGUGUACCUACGUGGCAUGGAGACAAUAUUUUCAGUUACCUUUAUCAAAUCCUUUUUAGUAAUUCUGUGUCUGUAUGUACUGUAGAAGUUGCAGUGGCGGGCUGACCUCAGCCAGCAGCCCGAUGCACAGCCAGCUACUCGGUCACUCAGUGUCCUCAACGGGACAGAGUAGGGAAGGCGAUGGGCAUUCUCAUGGGUCAAGACACGGACAGGGAGCUCGCUCACCAGAGGCAAAGCAGAAUAGACGUGGGGGAAGUUGCUUGGAGUCAUUGCACAUUUUGGACAGACUUGGAUGGUGAGAAACAAAAGCACCUGACCCCCCUCCCCUCUUCCCCGAGCCCAAAUACCCUCCUUCACUCACGAGUCCUCGACGUCCCCGCAGCGUGAGAGGUGCAGGGGUGAGGGGCGGUAGCGGUCAGUCCCCCCACAGCUCUGCUCGGCCGCUCCUUCCUCCUCCACUUCUCCCCUGUACCUGUGUGGGCUCUGAGCAGGCUGCAGCAUCCCUUGGGGUGUGGUGACGUGCCCCGCCGCCUCCAGCAGCCGCUGCGGGAGAAUCUCUGCCCUAGCGCUUGGAGCACCUCCUUCUGUUUCUCCUCCUGCCCAUGCUUUUUCUCCACCCUUUGCUCCGGCUCCACCUCCUCCUCCUCACGCUCCACCUCCUUCUCCUCCUCCCUCUCCGCCUCCCGCUCCCCAGCUUCUCACUCGGGCAUUCACGUGGCUGUCUCUCACACGGUUCCACCCUCUCUCCCCACUGCUGGGCAGCAUUCUGCCCCUUCUUGCCCUUUCCUCGGGACGUUUUCCCCAGGACGCCUCCACCUUGGGUGUGGGGCUCGGUUGUGCCUUGUGGCAGUGCCGCUGGAGCUGGAUGGAAACGGCUGGUUUUGACAGGGGGCAGCCCUGCCUUCUCCUCAGAGGCAGCUGGCAACCCGCAGUGCCAGCACGUGGGCACCCGCCCCCUACAGCGGGGACGAUUGUAUCAAAAUGUAUAUAUUGUAACAUCAGAGCGCUCUCCGGCCCAGAGGAAUUGGGCAGCCAAUCAGAGGGACUCCUGAGAAAGCGACAGCCUUUGAAAGAGAGGCCAAUCACAGAGCAGUGCGAAAACACGUGGCCUACUAAGUGCCACAAGAUGGUGGCUCCGGACUGUGGAAUUCGGGCUGAAACAAAAUGGCGCCUCCGCUGGCUCAUGAAAUGGCGGCUCCUCACCCUGGAAUGCAGACUGGAACGAAAUGGCGCCUCCCUGUGUAGGUAGGUGGGAGGGAUUUUCUGUCUUGUCCCAUCCUACCUGCGGGCGGGCCCAGUAGCACUGGGUCCUCCCCUUCACCCGCAGCCCUUUCCCCGCCCCUGCACGCAUCCACCCGGCGCCUCCAGCUGGUAGCCAGGAAGAACGGCGGGCUGGAGGCGCCGCUCUGCUGAGCGGCUGCAGGUGCCGGCCGCGCUGCCCGGUGGCUCUCCGUCCGAGUGGUAGGAGGUGCUCUGCUGCACAUCGCGUGUAGCUGAACGAGCCCACAUCUAGGAUUCGGGGCGCAGGGGGGUGGGGGAGCUAGGCAUUCCUUUUGAGGAGCGGUUUUCUGCACCUUUCUAAAUUGCAAGGUGGGCAGCUCCUAUGGUAAAGAGGGAAGAUGAGAGAGCAGGUGAACGUGCGCCUGGUCCCGACCCUGCGUAUGUGCCUUGAAUUGCACUGGCGCUUGUCUGGAUGAUGCGCAUGCUUGUGUCCAAGUGCCUUCUUUUGUGAGUGUGCCAUGUCACAUCCAGGCAGCAAAAUUCAUAGCGCAACGAUUAAGGAAGAAAGGGUUGCAGGCUCAGCUGAAGGUGGCGUUUUGCUCUGUUUUUCCAUGUAUGCAAACGGCGGGGAGCGCUGCCUGACUUUCCCAUCCCCAUGUGAAGCCCCAGGCCUGCCCUAGGAAGCCUGCGUGGUCUGUUAUGCAGGUUGGCAUAAGGCCCGGGGAUGUGUCCGGUCACUCGAGUUGUCAGGGUCGCUCCCGCUGGCAAGUUUGAGGAUCAGUAGCCGGGCAAGAUGUCCCUCCAGGCCGUGGCCCAGCGUGGCCACCUGGGAGGCAUCCUCGUGCCCCCUGUUUUGGCCGAGCGCCCGCCCUCUUGAAGCUCCCCCACCGCUGCUGUGCCAGGGGCUUUUCUGCAGACUGCUAACGGGCGGGUCGCCGACCUGGCCUUCUGCUCACGUUGGACUGUUUCUAUUCCCACUGAAACUUGAAUUCUUUAUUUUGUUAGCCGGCACGAAGGAACGCCCUGCCCGUUUCACAGCUACGCUUUGAGGAGUACAGGCAUAGGUUUAACUGCUCGGUCUGGAUGCCUGUGUGCCUGUUAUGUGUAGUUGUCGCUGCUUAACCUGGCAGAAAGCGGAGCACCACGCAGCCUCCCCAGCUGUGAUGGGGAAAGAAUCGGAAGGAUGGAAGUGGGAGCACACGCGGGUUUAGGUAAAGACGGUUUGCUAGGUAAAUGAAAAGGCGUGCCCGCAAGCCAAGGGAAACGUUUGCCGCUUCCCUUUGACAGGCAACUAUUCAGCCGCUUCUAGGAUCCCAGGGCUCACUGCACGUAACCAGCUCUUAUCUAGCACGGUGUGCAGCGUGGCUGAAUAUGAAGGCGAAAAAAAGCUUUACUUACCUGUAUGAAGGUCUCCCUGCAUUUGAAUGUAUGUGUAAUUUCUAUACAUAGACUGCCGUGUCGCGCUGACCUUGGCCAGCAGCCUGAUGGUGUGCGGUCUGUGUCGCGUGCCAUCUUCUCGUGCACUGCCAACCUCCUUGCUGGCAGGGCGCCGUAAGAAGCAGAAAAGUCCUGGGCUCAGUGUGGGCGCUGCUCCGCAACAACAGCAGGAAGGAACUACAACGUGGAUGCGUUAGCACCACCGUUUUUGUCAGAAACGCAAAAGAGCCCACCAACCCGUGCGAGGCGGUACGAGGAAAAUGGGCAGUCUCCCAGACAAAACCACGACAACUACCUAGUGUAGUAUAGUGGUGUACCUACGUGGCAUGGAGACAAUAUUUUCAGUUACCUUUAUCAAAUCCUUUUUAAUAAUUCUGUGUCUGUAUGUACUGUAGAAGUUGCAGUGGCGGGCUGACCUCAGCCAGCAGCCCGAUGCACAGCCAGCUACUCGGUCACUCAGUGUCCUCAACGGGACAGAGUAGGGAAGGCGAUGGGCAUUCUCAUGGGUCAAGACACGGACAGGGAGCUCGCUCACCAGAGGCAAAGCAGAAUAGACGUGGGGGAAGUUGCUUGGAGUCAUUGCACAUUUUGGACAGACUUGGAUGGUGAGAAACAAAAGCACCUGACCCCCCUCCCCUCUUCCCCGAGCCCAAAUACCCUCCUUCACGCACGAGUCCUCGACGUCCCCGCAGCGUGAGAGGUGCAGGGGUGAGGGGCGGUAGCGGUCAGUCCCCCCACAGCUCUGCUCGGCCGCUCCUUCCUCCUCCACUUCUCCCCUGUACCUGUGUGGGCUCUGAGCAGGCUGCAGCAUCCCUUGGGGUGUGGUGACGUGCCCCGCCGCCUCCAGCAGCCGCUGCGGGAGAAUCUCUGCCCUAGCGCUUGGAGCACCUCCUUCUGUUUCUCCUCCUGCCCAUGCUUUUUCUCCACCCUUUGCUCCGGCUCCACCUCCUCCUCCUCACGCUCCACCUCCUUCUCCUCCUCCCUCUCCGCCUCCCGCUCCCCAGCUUCUCACUCGGGCAUUCACGUGGCUGUCUCUCACACGGUUCCACCCUCUCUCCCCACUGCUGGGCAGCAUUCUGCCCCUUCUUGCCCUUUCCUCGGGACGUUUUCCCCAGGACGCCUCCACCUUGGGUGUGGGGCUCGGUUGUGCCUUGUGGCAGUGCCGCUGGAGCUGGAUGGAAACGGCUGGUUUUGACAGGGGGCAGCCCUGCCUUCUCCUCAGAGGCAGCUGGCAACCCGCAGUGCCAGCACGUGGGCACCCGCCCCCUACAGCGGGGACGAUUGUAUCAAAAUGUAUAUAUUGUAACAUCAGAGCGCUCUCCGGCCCAGAGGAAUUGGGCAGCCAAUCAGAGGGACUCCUGAGAAAGCGACAGCCUUUGAAAGAGAGGCCAAUCACAGAGCAGUGCGAAAACACGUGGCCUACUAAGUGCCACAAGAUGGUGGCUCCGGACUGUGGAAUUCGGGCUGAAACAAAAUGGCGCCUCCGCUGGCUCAUGAAAUGGCGGCUCCUCACCCUGGAAUGCAGACUGGAACGAAAUGGCGCCUCCCUGUGUAGGUAGGUGGGAGGGAUUUUCUGUCUUGUCCCAUCCUACCUGCGGGCGGGCCCAGUAGCACUGGGUCCUCCCCUUCACCCGCAGCCCUUUCCCCGCCCCUGCACGCAUCCACCCGGCGCCUCCAGCUGGUAGCCAGGAAGAACGGCGGGCUGGAGGCGCCGCUCUGCUGAGCGGCUGCAGGUGCCGGCCGCGCUGCCCGGUGGCUCUCCGUCCGAGUGGUAGGAGGUGCUCUGCUGCACAUCGCGUGUAGCUGAACGAGCCCACAUCUAGGAUUCGGGGCGCAGGGGGGUGGGGGAGCUAGGCAUUCCUUUUGAGGAGCGGUUUUCUGCACCUUUCUAAAUUGCAAGGUGGGCAGCUCCUAUGGUAAAGAGGGAAGAUGAGAGAGCAGGUGAACGUGCGCCUGGUCCCGACCCUGCGUAUGUGCCUUGAAUUGCACUGGCGCUUGUCUGGAUGAUGCGCAUGCUUGUGUCCAAGUGCCUUCUUUUGUGAGUGUGCCAUGUCACAUCCAGGCAGCAAAAUUCAUAGCGCAACGAUUAAGGAAGAAAGGGUUGCAGGCUCAGCUGAAGGUGGCGUUUUGCUCUGUUUUUCCAUGUAUGCAAACGGCGGGGAGCGCUGCCUGACUUUCCCAUCCCCAUGUGAAGCCCCAGGCCUGCCCUAGGAAGCCUGCGUGGUCUGUUAUGCAGGUUGGCAUAAGGCCCGGGGAUGUGUCCGGUCACUCGAGUUGUCAGGGUCGCUCCCGCUGGCAAGUUUGAGGAUCAGUAGCCGGGCAAGAUGUCCCUCCAGGCCGUGGCCCAGCGUGGCCACCUGGGAGGCAUCCUCGUGCCCCCUGUUUUGGCCGAGCGCCCGCCCUCUUGAAGCUCCCCCACCGCUGCUGUGCCAGGGGCUUUUCUGCAGACUGCUAACGGGCGGGUCGCCGACCUGGCCUUCUGCUCACGUUGGACUGUUUCUAUUCCCACUGAAACUUGAAUUCUUUAUUUUGUUAGCCGGCACGAAGGAACGCCCUGCCCGUUUCACAGCUACGCUUUGAGGAGUACAGGCAUAGGUUUAACUGCUCGGUCUGGAUGCCUGUGUGCCUGUUAUGUGUAGUUGUCGCUGCUUAACCUGGCAGAAAGCGGAGCACCACGCAGCCUCCCCAGCUGUGAUGGGGAAAGAAUCGGAAGGAUGGAAGUGGGAGCACACGCGGGUUUAGGUAAAGACGGUUUGCUAGGUAAAUGAAAAGGCGUGCCCGCAAGCCAAGGGAAACGUUUGCCGCUUCCCUUUGACAGGCAACUAUUCAGCCGCUUCUAGGAUCCCAGGGCUCACUGCACGUAACCAGCUCUUAUCUAGCACGGUGUGCAGCGUGGCUGAAUAUGAAGGCGAAAAAAAGCUUUACUUACCUGUAUGAAGGUCUCCCUGCAUUUGAAUGGCGCCGUAAGAAGCAGAAAAGUCCUGGGCUCAGUGUGGGCGCUGCUCCGCAACAACAGCAGGAAGGAACUACAACGUGGAUGCGUUAGCACCACCGUUUUUGUCAGAAACGCAAAAGAGCCCACCAACCCGUGCGAGGCGGUACGAGGAAAAUGGGCAGUCUCCCAGACAAAACCACGACAACUACCUAGUGUAGUAUAGUGGUGUACCUACGUGGCAUGGAGACAAUAUUUUCAGUUACCUUUAUCAAAUCCUUUUUAAUAAUUCUGUGUCUGUAUGUACUGUAGAAGUUGCAGUGGCGGGCUGACCUCAGCCAGCAGCCCGAUGCACAGCCAGCUACUCGGUCACUCAGUGUCCUCAACGGGACAGAGUAGGGAAGGCGAUGGGCAUUCUCAUGGGUCAAGACACGGACAGGGAGCUCGCUCACCAGAGGCAAAGCAGAAUAGACGUGGGGGAAGUUGCUUGGAGUCAUUGCACAUUUUGGACAGACUUGGAUGGUGAGAAACAAAAGCACCUGACCCCCCUCCCCUCUUCCCCGAGCCCAAAUACCCUCCUUCACUCACGAGUCCUCGACGUCCCCGCAGCGUGAGAGGUGCAGGGGUGAGGGGCGGUAGCGGUCAGUCCCCCCACAGCUCUGCUCGGCCGCUCCUUCCUCCUCCACUUCUCCCCUGUACCUGUGUGGGCUCUGAGCAGGCUGCAGCAUCCCUUGGGGUGUGGUGACGUGCCCCGCCGCCUCCAGCAGCCGCUGCGGGAGAAUCUCUGCCCUAGCGCUUGGAGCACCUCCUUCUGUUUCUCCUCCUGCCCAUGCUUUUUCUCCACCCUUUGCUCCGGCUCCACCUCCUCCUCCUCACGCUCCACCUCCUUCUCCUCCUCCCUCUCCGCCUCCCGCUCCCCAGCUUCUCACUCGGGCAUUCACGUGGCUGUCUCUCACACGGUUCCACCCUCUCUCCCCACUGCUGGGCAGCAUUCUGCCCCUUCUUGCCCUUUCCUCGGGACGUUUUCCCCAGGACGCCUCCACCUUGGGUGUGGGGCUCGGUUGUGCCUUGUGGCAGUGCCGCUGGAGCUGGAUGGAAACGGCUGGUUUUGACAGGGGGCAGCCCUGCCUUCUCCUCAGAGGCAGCUGGCAACCCGCAGUGCCAGCACGUGGGCACCCGCCCCCUACAGCGGGGACGAUUGUAUCAAAAUGUAUAUAUUGUAACAUCAGAGCGCUCUCCGGCCCAGAGGAAUUGGGCAGCCAAUCAGAGGGACUCCUGAGAAAGCGACAGCCUUUGAAAGAGAGGCCAAUCACAGAGCAGUGCGAAAACACGUGGCCUACUAAGUGCCACAAGAUGGUGGCUCCGGACUGUGGAAUUCGGGCUGAAACAAAAUGGCGCCUCCGCUGGCUCAUGAAAUGGCGGCUCCUCACCCUGGAUUGCAGACUGGAACGAAAUGGCGCCUCCCUGUGUAGGUAGGUGGGAGGGAUUUUCUGUCUUGUCCCAUCCUACCUGCGGGCGGGCCCAGUAGCACUGGGUCCUCCCCUUCACCCGCAGCCCUUUCCCCGCCCCUGCACGCAUCCACCCGGCGCCUCCAGCUGGUAGCCAGGAAGAACGGCGGGCUGGAGGCGCCGCUCUACUGAGCGGCUGCAGGUGCCGGCAGUUAUCGCUGCUUAACCUGGCAGAAAGCGGAACACCACGCAACCUCCCCAGCUGUGAUGAGGAACGAAUCGGAAGGAUGGAAGGGGGAGCUAACACAGUUUUAGUUAAAUACGGUUGUUAAGUUUUUUAUGAUACAAUACAUCACCUCCACAGCCCCAGAUAUUUCUCAGAAGGGAAUGGAGCAUUUUAUAAAACAAGAUUCAUGAAUGACGGCUAGAAGUAAGUGUACACUGGGAUCAUUUGAACAGUCAACUCCUACGCUAAUUGUAGCCACACAGAAUGGUGUUUGGGCGUAGGCUGCGUUUGAUUAAGUGUAUAAUCUCGGCUGCAUAUUUUAACACAAAAAUGUCACUCAGUCAUUCUGAGAGGAUACAAAGACACGUGGGUUACCAAGUGUCCCAAAAUGGCGUCUCCUCUCCGUGGAAGGCAGGCGGAUACAAGAUGGCGCCUCCCUAUGCAGGGAGGUGGGAGGGAUUUCCUGUGCAGGGCCCUGCCACCUCCGGUGGGGCUGAUUGACAUUGGGCCCUGCCCUUCACCUGAGGUUUCUUUCCCACCCCGGCAUGCAGUCGGCACAGCGCUGCCUGCUGCUGACCAGGAAGAGCUGCGGGCCGGAGAGGCAGGUGUGUGGAGCAGGAGCAGCAGCUUUACACGCCACAGCGUUCGGUGCCUGGCUGCCCGAGUGGUAAGAGAUGUUCUGUUGCACAUUGGGCGUAGUGAGGAGGGCUUGAAAGUGUAGAUUCACGGAAAGGGAGGGGGGCUCUCCGAGUGUUCUGGGGAGCCGUUCUGCCCCCUUUCUGGAGGGCAAGCGGGACAGAUGCUGUUGUUAGCAGGGAAGAUGAGAGAGCCAUAGAGCUGCAGCUUGAGGCUGUGUUUGUGCGCUCCCGAGAAUGCUAUUGCCCAGGAGCCGCCUUUUCUCAGUGCAGCUACUCAAGGACAAGGCCCCGCGUCCUUUGGAAGGGGUGUGUGACAGGGUAAUCCUGUUCCCUCUGGCUUCAAGCCACGCAUGCUAUUGGAAAUGCAGGGUUGAAUCCUGCUGUAGCCCCUGCAGCCUGAAAGGUACCAAAGAACUGGGCUCGAGGGCCCAAAGGCUGGGAUUGGCAAGUGGCCUCUCCGUUUCAUACUGAUGCUUUCAGGAGCAUAGCCAUAUCUUUAACUUUGGCCUGCCGAGAACUGUCUGUGGGUUACUUGUGCCUGCUGGGGUGUAGCCCUCGAGGCCCGGCUAAACAGCACACAGUGGUUCGCUCUCCCUCCCCAGGCAAGGCUGGGGACAGUACCGGCAAGGUAGAAGUGGGAGGACGCACAGGAGAGGCUGAAGGCCGUUUCCGGGGCAAGGCCCAGGCCGCAAGAAGGAGCAAGGCAAAAUGCGGGAUUCAUUUCCAGGUUCCCGUUGGCGGGCAGAUGGAUAUUCAGGUGCUCCCAGAAAAGCGGGGACCGUCUCGUGUCACAGUUAGCUGGGAAGACAAUCAGCAUUGCUCCCAGUAUGCUCUCAUGCCUCCUUCUGUAGGUUGGCUGUAACUGCGGAGCACGACAUUAGGUGGUACGGAAUAUCCCCUUGGUUCAGUUUGGGCCAGGUGGCCCAGCUGGGAUCCCCGCCGCCCUCCCGCAACUUCUUGUGCCACUCCAGCCUCCUGGCUCGAAGGAGAGCAUAAGAAGCAGAAGCGUCCUUGGUUUCUGUGGAAGCAGCGCUCUGCUACAGCACUUAGGUGGCUGUGUGAUCUGCGCUGUUCACGGCCCGAUUCCCAAACCUGCAGGACAGGUGCCUGCCAGAAGAAAAAGAUCUCUGCCCUAGCCAGACCCACGACAAUUCCCUAGCGCACUGCAGUAGCACAAAGUGAGGGUAGUCCUGUCGCUGGAGUGAGUAUCUGCGCUGCACCCGGUGGUACCGCAGCGUAACAUCGUGGCUUACGGGCCCUGAGUCUGCCGAGGUGCUUCCAAAGGAAGGGGCUCUGCUGCUCCCCAAAGGCUGUGCCGCAGCAGUCUGUGGAUAAGAGGAUGCUCUGCCCAUGCGCAGCAUUUCCACCGACGCAGAGCGUAGCUACUCAGAAUGCUGUGUGGGCAAACGCAGCCGAGUUUUAACAGUAUCAUCUGGGCUGCACAGUUGCAUCUAAACCCCUGCGUUUCUACACCAGAGCCCUCCCGUAGCUGGAGGAAGCAAGCAGCCGUUCAGGACAGACCUGAGAAGACAAUGGCAUUUAACAAAUGUGACUCAGCCAAUCUGAGAGGAUACAAAGACACGUGGGUUACCAAGUGUCCCAAAAUGGCGUCUCCUCUCCGUGGAAGGCAGGCGGAUACAAGAUGGCGCCUCCCUCUGCAGGGAGGUGGGAGGGAUUUCCUGUGCAGGGCCCUGCCACCUCCGGUGGGGCUGAUUGACAUUGGGCCUGCCCUUCACCUGAGGUUUCUUUCCCACCCCGGCAUGCAGUCGGCACAGCGCUGCCUGCUGCUGACCAGGAAGAGCUGCGGGCCGGAGAGGCAGGUGUGUGGAGCAGGAGCAGCAGCUUUACACGCCACAGCGUUCGGUGCCUGGCUGCCCGAGUGGUAAGAGAUGUUCUGUUGCACAUUGGGCGUAGUGAGGAGGGCUUGAAAGUGUAGAUUCACGGAAAGGGAGGGGGGCUCUCUGAGUGUUCUGGGGAGCCGUUCUGCCCCCUUUCUGGAGGGCAAGCGGGACAGAUGCUGUUGUUAGCAGGGAAGAUGAGAGAGCCAUAGAGCUGCAGCUUGAGGCUGUGUUUGUGCGCUCCCGAGAAUGCUAUUGCCCAGGAGCCGCCUUUUCUCAGUGCAGCUACUCAAGGACAAGGCCCCGCGUCCUUUGGAAGGGGUGUGUGACAGGGUAAUCCUGUUCCCUCUGGCUUCAAGCCACGCAUGCUAUUGGAAAUGCAGGGUUGAAUCCUGCUGUAGCCCCUGCAGCCUGAAAGGUACCAAAGAACUGGGCUCGAGGGCCCAAAGGCUGGGAUUGGCAAGUGGCCUCUCCGUUUCAUACUGAUGCUUUCAGGAGCAUAGCCAUAUCUUUAACUUUGGCCUGCCGAGAACUGUCUGUGGGUUACUUGUGCCUGCUGGGGUGUAGCCCUCGAGGCCCGGCUAAACAGCACACAGUGGUUCGCUCUCCCUCCCCAGGCAAGGCUGGGGACAGUACCGGCAAGGUAGAAGUGGGAGGACUCACAGGAGAGGCUGAAGGCCGUUUCCGGGGCAAGGCCCAGGCCGCAAGAAGGAGCAAGGCAAAAUGCGGGAUUCAUUUCCAGGUUCCCGUUGGCGGGCAGAUGGAUAUUCAGGUGCUCCCAGAAAAGCGGGGACCGUCUCGUGUCUCAGUUUGCUGGGAAGACAAUCAGCAUUGCUCCCAGUAUGCUCUCAAUCCUCCUUCUGUAGGUUGGCUGUAACUGCGGAGCACGACAUUAGGUGGUACGGAAUAUCCCCUUGGUUCAGUUUGGGCCAGGUGGCCCAGCUGGGAUCCCCGCCGCCCUCCCGCAACUUCUCGUGCCACUCCAGCCUCCUGGCUCGAAGGAGAGCAUAAGAAGCAGAAGCGUCCUUGGUUUCUGUGGAAGCAGCGCUCUGCUACAGCACUUAGGUGGCUGUGUGAUCCGCGCUGUUCACGGCCCGAUUCCCAAACCUGCAGGACAGGUGCCUGCCAGAAGAAAAAGAUCUCUGCCCUAGCCAGACCCACGACAAUUCCCUAGCGCACUGCAGUAGCACAAAGUGAGGGUAGUCCUGUCGCUGGAGUGAGUAUCUGCGCUGCACCCGGUGGUACCGCAGCGUAACAUCGUGGCUUACGGGCCCUGAGUCUGCCGAGGUGCUUCCAAAGGAAGGGGCUCUGCUGCUCCCCAAAGGCUGUGCCGCAGCAGUCUGUGGAUAAGAGGAUGCUCUGCCCAUGCGCAGCAUUUCCACCGACGCAGAGCGUAGCUACUCAGAAUGCUGUGUGGGCAAACGCAGCCGAGUUUUAACAGUAUCAUCUGGGCUGCACAGUUGCAUCUAAACCCCUGCGUUUCUACACCAGAGCCCUCCCGUAGCUGGAGGAAGCAAGCAGCCGUUCAGGACAGACCUGAGAAGACAAUGGCAUUUAACAAAUGUGACUCAGCCAAUCUGAGAGGAUACAAAGACACGUGGGUUACCAAGUGUCCCAAAAUGGCGUCUCCUCUCCGUGGAAGGCAGGUGGAUACAAGAUGGCGCCUCCCUAUGCAGGGAGGUGGGAGGGAUUUCCUGUGCAGGGCCCUGCCACCUCCGGUGGGGCUGAUUGACAUUGGGCCUGCCCUUCACCUGAGGUUUCUUUCCCACCCCGGCAUGCAGUCGGCACAGCGCUGCCUGCUGCUGACCAGGAAGAGCUGCGGGCCGGAGAGGCAGGUGUGUGGAGCAGGAGCAGCAGCUUUACACGCCACAGCGUUCGGUGCCUGGCUGCCCGAGUGGUAAGAGAUGUUCUGUUGCACAUUGGGCGUAGUGAGGAGGGCUUGAAAGUGUAGAUUCACGGAAAGGGAGGGGGGCUCUCUGAGUGUUCUGGGGAGCCGUUCUGCCCCCUUUCUGGAGGGCAAGCGGGACAGAUGCUGUUGUUAGCAGGGAAGAUGAGAGAGCCAUAGAGCUGCAGCUUGAGGCUGUGUUUGUGCGCUCCCGAGAAUGCUAUUGCCCAGGAGCCGCCUUUUCUCAGUGCAGCUACUCAAGGACAAGGCCCCGCGUCCUUUGGAAGGGGUGUGUGACAGGGUAAUCCUGUUCCCUCUGGCUUCAAGCCACGCAUGCUAUUGGAAAUGCAGGGUUGAAUCCUGCUGUAGCCCCUGCAGCCUGAAAGGUACCAAAGAACUGGGCUCGAGGGCCCAAAGGCUGGGAUUGGCAAGUGGCCUCUCCGUUUCAUACUGAUGCUUUCAGGAGCAUAGCCAUAUCUUUAACUUUGGCCUGCCGAGAACUGUCUGUGGGUUACUUGUGCCUGCUGGGGUGUAGCCCUCGAGGCCCGGCUAAACAGCACACAGUGGUUCGCUCUCCCUCCCCAGGCAAGGCUGGGGACAGUACCGGCAAGGUAGAAGUGGGAGGACGCACAGGAGAGGCUGAAGGCCGUUUCCGGGGCAAGGCCCAGGCCGCAAGAAGGAGCAAGGCAAAAUGCGGGAUUCAUUUCCAGGUUCCCGUUGGCGGGCAGAUGGAUAUUCAGGUGCUCCCAGAAAAGCGGGGACCGUCUCGUGUCACAGUUUGCUGGGAAGACAAUCAGCAUUGCUCCCAGUAUGCUCUCAUGCCUCCUUCUGUAGGUUGGCUGUAACUGCGGAGCACGACAUUAGGUGGUACGGAAUAUCCCCUUGGUUCAGUUUGGGCCAGGUGGCCCAGCUGGGAUCCCCGCCGCCCUCCCGCAACUUCUUGUGCCACUCCAGCCUCCUGGCUCAAAGGAGAGCAUAAGAAGCAGAAGCGUCCUUGGUUUCUGUGGAAGCAGCGCUCUGCUACAGCACUUAGGUGGCUGUGUGAUCCGCGCUGUUCACGGCCCGAUUCCCAAACCUGCAGGACAGGUGCCUGCCACAAGAAAAAGAUCUCUGCCCUAGCCAGACCCACGACAUUUCCCUAGCGCACUGCAGUAGCACAAAGUGAGGGUAGUCCUGUCGCUGGAGUGAGUAUCUGCGCUGCACCCGGUGGUACCGCAGCGUAACAUCGUGGCUUACGGGCCCUGAGUCUGCCGAGGUGCUUCCAAAGGAAGGGGCUCUGCUGCUUUCCAAAGGCUGCGCAGCAGCAGUCUGUGGAUAAGAGGAUGCUCUGCCCAUGCGCAGCAUUUCCACCGACGCAGAGCGUAGCUACUCAGAAUGCUGUGUGGGCAAACGCAGCCGAGUUUUAACAGUAUCAUCUGGGCUGCACAGUUGCAUCUAAACCCCUGCGUUUCUACACCAGAGCCCUCCCGUAGCUGGAGGAAGCAAGCAGCCGUUCAGGACAGACCUGAGAAGACAAUGGCAUUUAACAAAUGUGACUCAGCCAAUCUGAGAGGAUACAAAGACACGUGGGUUACCAAGUGUCCCAAAAUGGCGUCUCCUCUCCGUGGAAGGCAGGCGGAUACAAGAUGGCGCCUCCCUAUGCAGGGAGGUGGGAGGGAUUUCCUGUGCAGGGCCCUGCCACCUCCGGUGGGGCUGAUUGACAUUGGGCCCUGCCCUUCACCUGAGGUUUCUUUCCCACCCCGGCAUGCAGUCGGCACAGCGCUGCCUGCUGCUGACCAGGAAGAGCUGCGGGCCGGAGAGGCAGGUGUGUGGAGCAGGAGCAGCAGCUUUACACGCCACAGCGUUCGGUGCCUGGCUGCCCGAGUGGUAAGAGAUGUUCUGUUGCACAUUGGGCGUAGUGAGGAGGGCUUGAAAGUGUAGAUUCACGGAAAGGGAGGGGGGCUCUCUGAGUGUUCUGGGGAGCCGUUCUGCCCCCUUUCUGGAGGGCAAGCGGGACAGAUGCUGUUGUUAGCAGGGAAGAUGAGAGAGCCAUAGAGCUGCAGCUUGAGGCUGUGUUUGUGCGCUCCCGAGAAUGCUAUUGCCCAGGAGCCGCCUUUUCUCAGUGCAGCUACUCAAGGACAAGGCCCCGCGUCCUUUGGAAGGGGUGUGUGACAGGGUAAUCCUGUUCCCUCUGGCUUCAAGCCACGCAUGCUAUUGGAAAUGCAGGGUUGAAUCCUGCUGUAGCCCCUGCAGCCUGAAAGGUACCAAAGAACUGGGCUCGAGGGCCCAAAGGCUGGGAUUGGCAAGUGGCCUCUCCGUUUCAUACUGAUGCUUUCAGGAGCAUAGCCAUAUCUUUAACUUUGGCCUGCCGAGAACUGUCUGUGGGUUACUUGUGCCUGCUGGGGUGUAGCCCUCGAGGCCCGGCUAAACAGCACACAGUGGUUCGCUCUCCCUCCCCAGGCAAGGCUGGGGACAGUACCGGCAAGGUAGAAGUGGGAGGACUCACAGGAGAGGCUGAAGGCCGUUUCCGGGGCAAGGCCCAGGCCGCAAGAAGGAGCAAGGCAAAAUGCGGGAUUCAUUUCCAGGUUCCCGUUGGCGGGCAGAUGGAUAUUCAGGUGCUCCCAGAAAAGCGGGGACCGUCUCGUGUCUCAGUUUGCUGGGAAGACAAUCAGCAUUGCUCCCAGUAUGCUCUCAAUCCUCCUUCUGUAGGUUGGCUGUAACUGCGGAGCACGACAUUAGGUGGUACGGAAUAUCCCCUUGGUUCAGUUUGGGCCAGGUGGCCCAGCUGGGAUCCCCGCCGCCCUCCCGCAACUUCUCGUGCCACUCCAGCCUCCUGGCUCGAAGGAGAGCAUAAGAAGCAGAAGCGUCCUUGGUUUCUGUGGAAGCAGCGCUCUGCUACAGCACUUAGGUGGCUGUGUGAUCCGCGCUGUUCACGGCCCGAUUCCCAAACCUGCAGGACAGGUGCCUGCCAGAAGAAAAAGAUCUCUGCCCUAGCCAGACCCACGACAAUUCCCUAGCGCACUGCAGUAGCACAAAGUGAGGGUAGUCCUGUCGCUGGAGUGAGUAUCUGCGCUGCACCCGGUGGUACCGCAGCGUAACAUCGUGGCUUACGGGCCCUGAGUCUGCCGAGGUGCUUCCAAAGGAAGGGGCUCUGCUGCUCCCCAAAGGCUGCGCCGCAGCAGUCUGUGGAUAAGAGGAUGCUCUGCCCAUGCGCAGCAUUUCCACCGACGCAGAGCGUAGCUACUCAGAAUGCUGUGUGGGCAAACGCAGCCGAGUUUUAACAGUAUCAUCUGGGCUGCACAGUUGCAUCUAAACCCCUGCGUUUCUACACCAGAGCCCUCCCGUAGCUGGAGGAAGCAAGCAGCCGUUCAGGACAGACCUGAGAAGACAAUGGCAUUUAACAAAUGUGACUCAGCCAAUCUGAGAGGAUACAAAGACACGUGGGUUACCAAGUGUCCCAAAAUGGCGUCUCCUCUCCGUGGAAGGCAGGCGGAUACAAGAUGGCGCCUCCCUAUGCAGGGAGGUGGGAGGGAUUUCCUGUGCAGGGCCCUGCCACCUCCGGUGGGGCUGAUUGACAUUGGGCCCUGCCCUUCACCUGAGGUUUCUUUCCCACCCCGGCAUGCAGUCGGCACAGCGCUGCCUGCUGCUGACCAGGAAGAGCUGCGGGCCGGAGAGGCAGGUGUGUGGAGCAGGAGCAGCAGCUUUACACGCCACAGCGUUCGGUGCCUGGCUGCCCGAGUGGUAAGAGAUGUUCUGUUGCACAUUGGGCGUAGUGAGGAGGGCUUGAAAGUGUAGAUUCACGGAAAGGGAGGGGGGCUCUCUGAGUGUUCUGGGGAGCCGUUCUGCCCCCUUUCUGGAGGGCAAGCGGGACAGAUGCUGUUGUUAGCAGGGAAGAUGAGAGAGCCAUAGAGCUGCAGCUUGAGGCUGUGUUUGUGCGCUCCCGAGAAUGCUAUUGCCCAGGAGCCGCCUUUUCUCAGUGCAGCUACUCAAGGACAAGGCCCCGCGUCCUUUGGAAGGGGUGUGUGACAGGGUAAUCCUGUUCCCUCUGGCUUCAAGCCACGCAUGCUAUUGGAAAUGCAGGGUUGAAUCCUGCUGUAGCCCCUGCAGCCUGAAAGGUACCAAAGAACUGGGCUCGAGGGCCCAAAGGCUGGGAUUGGCAAGUGGCCUCUCCGUUUCAUACUGAUGCUUUCAGGAGCAUAGCCAUAUCUUUAACUUUGGCCUGCCGAGAACUGUCUGUGGGUUACUUGUGCCUGCUGGGGUGUAGCCCUCGAGGCCCGGCUAAACAGCACACAGUGGUUCGCUCUCCCUCCCCAGGCAAGGCUGGGGACAGUACCGGCAAGGUAGAAGUGGGAGGACGCACAGGAGAGGCUGAAGGCCGUUUCCGGGGCAAGGCCCAGGCCGCAAGAAGGAGCAAGGCAAAAUGCGGGAUUCAUUUCCAGGUUCCCGUUGGCGGGCAGAUGGAUAUUCAGGUGCUCCCAGAAAAGCGGGGACCGUCUCGUGUCACAGUUUGCUGGGAAGACAAUCAGCAUUGCUCCCAGUAUGCUCUCAUGCCUCCUUCUGUAGGUUGGCUGUAACUGCGGAGCACGACAUUAGGUGGUACGGAAUAUCCCCUUGGUUCAGUUUGGGCCAGGUGGCCCAGCUGGGAUCCCCGCCGCCCUCCCGCAACUUCUUGUGCCACUCCAGCCUCCUGGCUCAAAGGAGAGCAUAAGAAGCAGAAGCGUCCUUGGUUUCUGUGGAAGCAGCGCUCUGCUACAGCACUUAGGUGGCUGUGUGAUCCGCGCUGUUCACGGCCCGAUUCCCAAACCUGCAGGACAGGUGCCUGCCACAAGAAAAAGAUCUCUGCCCUAGCCAGACCCACGACAUUUCCCUAGCGCACUGCAGUAGCACAAAGUGAGGGUAGUCCUGUCGCUGGAGUGAGUAUCUGCGCUGCACCCGGUGGUACCGCAGCGUAACAUCGUGGCUUACGGGCCCUGAGUCUGCCGAGGUGCUUCCAAAGGAAGGGGCUCUGCUGCUUUCCAAAGGCUGCGCAGCAGCAGUCUGUGGAUAAGAGGAUGCUCUGCCCAUGCGCAGCAUUUCCACCGACGCAGAGCGUAGCUACUCAGAAUGCUGUGUGGGCAAACGCAGCCGAGUUUUAACAGUAUCAUCUGGGCUGCACAGUUGCAUCUAAACCCCUGCGUUUCUACACCAGAGCCCUCCCGUAGCUGGAGGAAGCAAGCAGCCGUUCAGGACAGACCUGAGAAGACAAUGGCAUUUAACAAAUGUGACUCAGCCAAUCUGAGAGGAUACAAAGACACGUGGGUUACCAAGUGUCCCAAAAUGGCGUCUCCUCUCCGUGGAAGGCAGGUGGAUACAAGAUGGCGCCUCCCUAUGCAGGGAGGUGGGAGGGAUUUCCUGUGCAGGGCCCUGCCACCUCCGGUGGGGCUGAUUGACAUUGGGCCCUGCCCUUCACCUGAGGUUUCUUUCCCACCCCGGCAUGCAGUCGGCACAGCGCUGCCUGCUGCUGACCAGGAAGAGCUGCGGGCCGGAGAGGCAGGUGUGUGGAGCAGGAGCAGCAGCUUUACACGCCACAGCGUUCGGUGCCUGGCUGCCCGAGUGGUAAGAGAUGUUCUGUUGCACAUUGGGCGUAGUGAGGAGGGCUUGAAAGUGUAGAUUCACGGAAAGGGAGGGGGGCUCUCUGAGUGUUCUGGGGAGCCGUUCUGCCCCCUUUCUGGAGGGCAAGCGGGACAGAUGCUGUUGUUAGCAGGGAAGAUGAGAGAGCCAUAGAGCUGCAGCUUGAGGCUGUGUUUGUGCGCUCCCGAGAAUGCUAUUGCCCAGGAGCCGCCUUUUCUCAGUGCAGCUACUCAAGGACAAGGCCCCGCGUCCUUUGGAAGGGGUGUGUGACAGGGUAAUCCUGUUCCCUCUGGCUUCAAGCCACGCAUGCUAUUGGAAAUGCAGGGUUGAAUCCUGCUGUAGCCCCUGCAGCCUGAAAGGUACCAAAGAACUGGGCUCGAGGGCCCAAAGGCUGGGAUUGGCAAGUGGCCUCUCCGUUUCAUACUGAUGCUUUCAGGAGCAUAGCCAUAUCUUUAACUUUGGCCUGCCGAGAACUGUCUGUGGGUUACUUGUGCCUGCUGGGGUGUAGCCCUCGAGGCCCGGCUAAACAGCACACAGUGGUUCGCUCUCCCUCCCCAGGCAAGGCUGGGGACAGUACCGGCAAGGUAGAAGUGGGAGGACUCACAGGAGAGGCUGAAGGCCGUUUCCGGGGCAAGGCCCAGGCCGCAAGAAGGAGCAAGGCAAAAUGCGGGAUUCAUUUCCAGGUUCCCGUUGGCGGGCAGAUGGAUAUUCAGGUGCUCCCAGAAAAGCGGGGACCGUCUCGUGUCACAGUUUGCUGGGAAGACAAUCAGCAUUGCUCCCAGUAUGCUCUCAAUCCUCCUUCUGUAGGUUGGCUGUAACUGCGGAGCACGACAUUAGGUGGUACGGAAUAUCCCCUUGGUUCAGUUUGGGCCAGGUGGCCCAGCUGGGAUCCCCGCCGCCCUCCCGCAACUUCUCGUGCCACUCCAGCCUCCUGGCUCGAAGGAGAGCAUAAGAAGCAGAAGCGUCCUUGGUUUCUGUGGAAGCAGCGCUCUGCUACAGCACUUAGGUGGCUGUGUGAUCCGCGCUGUUCACGGCCCGAUUCCCAAACCUGCAGGACAGGUGCCUGCCAGAAGAAAAAGAUCUCUGCCCUAGCCAGACCCACGACAAUUCCCUAGCGCACUGCAGUAGCACAAAGUGAGGGUAGUCCUGUCGCUGGAGUGAGUAUCUGCGCUGCACCCGGUGGUACCGCAGCGUAACAUCGUGGCUUACGGGCCCUGAGUCUGCCGAGGUGCUUCCAAAGGAAGGGGCUCUGCUGCUCCCCAAAGGCUGCGCCGCAGCAGUCUGUGGAUAAGAGGAUGCUCUGCCCAUGCGCAGCAUUUCCACCGACGCAGAGCGUAGCUACUCAGAAUGCUGUGUGGGCAAACGCAGCCGAGUUUUAACAGUAUCAUCUGGGCUGCACAGUUGCAUCUAAACCCCUGCGUUUCUACACCAGAGCCCUCCCGUAGCUGGAGGAAGCAAGCAGCCGUUCAGGACAGACCUGAGAAGACAAUGGCAUUUAACAAAUGUGACUCAGCCAAUCUGAGAGGAUACAAAGACACGUGGGUUACCAAGUGUCCCAAAAUGGCGUCUCCUCUCCGUGGAAGGCAGGCGGAUACAAGAUGGCGCCUCCCUAUGCAGGGAGGUGGGAGGGAUUUCCUGUGCAGGGCCCUGCCACCUCCGGUGGGGCUGAUUGACAUUGGGCCCUGCCCUUCACCUGAGGUUUCUUUCCCACCCCGGCAUGCAGUCGGCACAGCGCUGCCUGCUGCUGACCAGGAAGAGCUGCGGGCCGGAGAGGCAGGUGUGUGGAGCAGGAGCAGCAGCUUUACACGCCACAGCGUUCGGUGCCUGGCUGCCCGAGUGGUAAGAGAUGUUCUGUUGCACAUUGGGCGUAGUGAGGAGGGCUUGAAAGUGUAGAUUCACGGAAAGGGAGGGGGGCUCUCUGAGUGUUCUGGGGAGCCGUUCUGCCCCCUUUCUGGAGGGCAAGCGGGACAGAUGCUGUUGUUAGCAGGGAAGAUGAGAGAGCCAUAGAGCUGCAGCUUGAGGCUGUGUUUGUGCGCUCCCGAGAAUGCUAUUGCCCAGGAGCCGCCUUUUCUCAGUGCAGCUACUCAAGGACAAGGCCCCGCGUCCUUUGGAAGGGGUGUGUGACAGGGUAAUCCUGUUCCCUCUGGCUUCAAGCCACGCAUGCUAUUGGAAAUGCAGGGUUGAAUCCUGCUGUAGCCCCUGCAGCCUGAAAGGUACCGAAGAACUGGGCUCGAGGGCCCAAAGGCUGGGAUUGGCAAGUGGCCUCUCCGUUUCAUACUGAUGCUUUCAGGAGCAUAGCCAUAUCUUUAACUUUGGCCUGCCGAGAACUGUCUGUGGGUUACUUGUGCCUGCUGGGGUGUAGCCCUCGAGGCCCGGCUAAACAGCACACAGUGGUUCGCUCUCCCUCCCCAGGCAAGGCUGGGGACAGUACCGGCAAGGUAGAAGUGGGAGGACUCACAGGAGAGGCUGAAGGCCGUUUCCGGGGCAAGGCCCAGGCCGCAAGAAGGAGCAAGGCAAAAUGCGGGAUUCAUUUCCAGGUUCCCGUUGGCGGGCAGAUGGAUAUUCAGGUGCUCCCAGAAAAGCGGGGACCGUCUCGUGUCACAGUUAGCUGGGAAGACAAUCAGCAUUGCUCCCAGUAUGCUCUCAUGCCUCCUUCUGUAGGUUGGCUGUAACUGCGGAGCACGACAUUAGGUGGUACGGAAUAUCCCCUUGGUUCAGUUUGGGCCAGGUGGCCCAGCUGGGAUCCCCGCCGCCCUCCCGCAACUUCUUGUGCCACUCCAGCCUCCUGGCUCGAAGGAGAGCAUAAGAAGCAGAAGCGUCCUUGGUUUCUGUGGAAGCAGCUCUCUGCUACAGCACUUAGGUGGCUGUGUGAUCCGCGCUGUUCACGGCCCGAUUCCCAAACCUGCAGGACAGGUGCCUGCCACAAGAAAAAGAUCUCUGCCCUAGCCAGACCCACAACAAUUCCCUAGCGCACUGCAGUAGCACAAAGUGAGGGUAGUCCUGUCGCUGGAGUGAGUAUCUGCGCUGCACCCGGUGGUACCGCAGCGUAACAUCGUGGCUUACGGGCCCUGAGUCUGCCGAGGUGCUUCCAAAGGAAGGGGCUCUGCUGCUCCCCAAAGGCUGCGCCGCAGCAGUCUGUGGAUAAGAGGAUGCUCUGCCCAUGCGCAGCAUUUCCACCGACGCAGAGCGUAGCUACUCAGAAUGCUGUGUGGGCAAACGCAGCCGAGUUUUAACAGUAUCAUCUGGGCUGCACAGUUGCAUCUAAACCCCUGCGUUUCUACACCAGAGCCCUCCCGUAGCUGGAGGAAGCAAGCAGCCGUUCAGGACAGACCUGAGAAGACAAUGGCAUUUAACAAAUGUGACUCAGCCAAUCUGAGAGGAUACAAAGACACGUGGGUUACCAAGUGUCCCAAAAUGGCGUCUCCUCUCCGUGGAAGGCAGGCGGAUACAAGAUGGCGCCUCCCUCUGCAGGGAGGUGGGAGGGAUUUCCUGUGCAGGGCCCUGCCACCUCCGGUGGGGCUGAUUGACAUUGGGCCUGCCCUUCACCUGAGGUUUCUUUCCCACCCCGGCAUGCAGUCGGCACAGCGCUGCCUGCUGCUGACCAGGAAGAGCUGCGGGCCGGAGAGGCAGGUGUGUGGAGCAGGAGCAGCAGCUUUACACGCCACAGCGUUCGGUGCCUGGCUGCCCGAGUGGUAAGAGAUGUUCUGUUGCACAUUGGGCGUAGUGAGGAGGGCUUGAAAGUGUAGAUUCACGGAAAGGGAGGGGGGCUCUCUGAGUGUUCUGGGGAGCCGUUCUGCCCCCUUUCUGGAGGGCAAGCGGGACAGAUGCUGUUGUUAGCAGGGAAGAUGAGAGAGCCAUAGAGCUGCAGCUUGAGGCUGUGUUUGUGCGCUCCCGAGAAUGCUAUUGCCCAGGAGCCGCCUUUUCUCAGUGCAGCUACUCAAGGACAAGGCCCCGCGUCCUUUGGAAGGGGUGUGUGACAGGGUAAUCCUGUUCCCUCUGGCUUCAAGCCACGCAUGCUAUUGGAAAUGCAGGGUUGAAUCCUGCUGUAGCCCCUGCAGCCUGAAAGGUACCAAAGAACUGGGCUCGAGGGCCCAAAGGCUGGGAUUGGCAAGUGGCCUCUCCGUUUCAUACUGAUGCUUUCAGGAGCAUAGCCAUAUCUUUAACUUUGGCCUGCCGAGAACUGUCUGUGGGUUACUUGUGCCUGCUGGGGUGUAGCCCUCGAGGCCCGGCUAAACAGCACACAGUGGUUCGCUCUCCCUCCCCAGGCAAGGCUGGGGACAGUACCGGCAAGGUAGAAGUGGGAGGACUCACAGGAGAGGCUGAAGGCCGUUUCCGGGGCAAGGCCCAGGCCGCAAGAAGGAGCAAGGCAAAAUGCGGGAUUCAUUUCCAGGUUCCCGUUGGCGGGCAGAUGGAUAUUCAGGUGCUCCCAGAAAAGCGGGGACCGUCUCGUGUCACAGUUUGCUGGGAAGACAAUCAGCAUUGCUCCCAGUAUGCUCUCAUGCCUCCUUCUGUAGGUUGGCUGUAACUGCGGAGCACUACAUUAGGCGGUACGGAAUAUCCCCUUGGUUCAGUUUGGGCCAGGUGGCCCAGCUGGGAUCCCCGCCGCCCUCCCACAACUUCUUGUGCCACUCCAGCCUCCUGGCUCGAAGGAGAGCAUAAGAAGCAGAAGCGUCCUUGGUUUCUGUGGAAGCAGCGCUCUGCUACAGCACUUAGGUGGCUGUGUGAUCCGCGCUGUUCACGGCCCGAUUCCCAAACCUGCAGGACAGGUACCUGCCAGAAGAAAAAGAUCUCUGCCCUAGCCAGACCCACGACAUUCCCUAGCGCACUGCAGUAGCACAAAGUGAGGGUAGUCCUGUCGCUGGAGUGAGUAUCUGCGCUGCACCCGGUGGUACCGCAGCGUAACAUCGUG
Molecule: long non-coding RNA, 37769 nt
Organism: Gallus gallus (chicken)
Lineage: Eukaryota; Metazoa; Chordata; Aves; Galliformes; Phasianidae
Exons: 5
Source: RefSeq, a predicted model, not a curated record